Long non-coding RNA from Olea europaea var. sylvestris, 924 nucleotides. RefSeq lists it as uncharacterized. The transcript has 2 exons. NCBI's taxonomy places the organism in Eukaryota, Viridiplantae, Streptophyta, Magnoliopsida, Lamiales, Oleaceae. The record is from RefSeq and is a predicted model, not a curated record.
UUUUGAAACUCAGAAUUUACCCGAUUGCGUAGCUUUUCCUAGCACAGUAAAUUUUUGCAACUGAAAUCAUUGCAAAAGAGGCUCAAGUAUUCAAUGGAAUGAGGAAACGAUCACAGGUUUCUUGCCGCGAGUACUAUUCUUACAAGUUACAAAUUAGGCCUUCUAGUAAGUCUGUGUUGCUUCAUAAUGGUAGACUUUUUCAACAAUAUGUUGUAGAUAUGUAUGUUAAAAUUGAAACUGCCAGAUUAGACUAUUUUCGUAGCAAUCAGAAACAAAUUCGUGCUGAACUUUAUCAAGGUAUUGUGGAUAAUGUUCAAAAUGGGGAAACAAAAGGGUCAAAAAUUGGAAAGAAGAUUGUUCUACCACAAACUUUCACAUGUGGGCCUAGAGAUAUGCUUAAAAGAUAUUUAGAUACAAUGGCUAUCGUCCAAUGUUAUGGAAAACCAGAUAUAUUUCUAACUAUAACAUGUAAUCCAAAUUGGCCAGAAAUUAUGCAAGAACUCAAACACAAUGACGAAGUUCAAAAUCGCCCAGAUUUAAUUGCACGUAUAUUUAGAGCAAAAUUAUAAGAGUUAAAGAACGAUUUAUACAAAGAAAAUAUUUUUGGUUCAGUUGUUGCUCAUAUAUACAUGAUUGAAUUUCAAAAAAGAGGGCUCCCUCAUGCCCAUUUAUUGUUGAUUUUCAAUUCUGCCCAUAAAAUUUGUUGUGCUGAACAAGUUGAUAUGAUAGUGUCAUGUGAAAUUCCCGAUAAGAAUAAAUACUUGCAUCUUCAUUCUGUAAUUGCAAAACACAAUAUGCAUGGCCCUUGUGGAAACCUUAAUCCAAAAAACGUAUGUAUGUUGGCAAGUAGUGGUUGUAAAAAUAAAUAUCCUAAGGAUUAUUGUAACAGUACUAUAUUUGGUGAUAAUUCAUAUCCCUUGUAUA